Molecule: transfer RNA, 72 nt
Filed under: Bos taurus (domestic cattle)
Lineage: Eukaryota; Metazoa; Chordata; Mammalia; Artiodactyla; Bovidae
Also listed under: 2 other names
Rfam family: tRNA
About the family: Transfer RNA (tRNA) molecules are approximately 80 nucleotides in length. Their secondary structure includes four short double-helical elements and three loops (D, anti-codon, and T loops). Further hydrogen bonds mediate the characteristic L-shaped molecular structure. tRNAs have two regions of fundamental functional importance: the anti-codon, which is responsible for specific mRNA codon recognition, and the 3' end, to which the tRNAs corresponding amino acid is attached (by aminoacyl-tRNA synthetases). tRNAs cope with the degeneracy of the genetic code in two manners: having more than one tRNA (with a specific anti-codon) for a particular amino acid; and 'wobble' base-pairing, i.e. permitting non-standard base-pairing at the 3rd anti-codon position.
Source: Rfam by way of RNAcentral
UCCUUGGUGGCUCAGAGGGUAAAGAAUCUGCCUGCAAUGCAGGAGACCCAGGUUCGAUCCCUGGGUCGGGAA